This is a long non-coding RNA of Zonotrichia leucophrys gambelii, 2360 nucleotides long. RefSeq lists it as uncharacterized. The record is from RefSeq and is a predicted model, not a curated record. The transcript is spliced from 3 exons. Lineage: Eukaryota; Metazoa; Chordata; Aves; Passeriformes; Passerellidae.
CUGGUCUUGAACCAGAAGCAAAGAACAGGAGCCUCUUCUCUCUGGGGUGAGGGCUGUAAUCCCCUCCAGCUACAGGAUCAGUCUCUCCAUUAGUAAAACAAGUUCCCUGAUCUGGUUCACAGCACAGCCUGGCAAAAAGCUGGAAUUGGGAACAUUGAGGAGUGAUGCAGCAUGGCAUGAGGACAAAUAAGGCUGUGCAGGGAAGGAGCAGUUUCCUGCAGCAUUGGUAAAGGACAGCAGAGAGUGCACCGGAGGUUACAGGAAAGAAGAAUUGGGAAUUGGAAGCAGACAUCAAAGGGGGUACAGAGUUGACGUAAAUAGAAAAGAGACUUGAGAGGGGACAGUGAAAGUUGUUAGCGUUAGCUGGAGACAGGGGAGAACGAGGGCCAGAAGAUGUGUUGCAAUAGGCACUUGUGAGUGAGGUCUGAAUCACCGUUAUGGGGGGACAACAGGGACAGUUUGAAGUACAUCACCCAAGAAGAGAAUCUCAGUGACAUGGAUGAAACACCAGCUGGGGAAAGGGGGCAACAAAGGCUUCACUGAGCCAACAAAACAAAAGUGGGAAACCUGGAUCAGAAAGAACUCUUUCUUUGAAACAGAAAACAUUCAAAUAGUAUUCAGUUCAAAGGACUGGAAAUACAGGGAUAAAUAAAUUAAAAUGCUUUAAACAAUUAAAUUAAGAGUAUAUUUAUUUCCAAGGAUAAUAGGGAAAAAUCUGCCAAAAAAGGAGGAAGCCUUUUCCCUCAGUCACACUAUGGCAAGUACCACGUUCAUCAAAGAAAGGAAGGAGCAAUCCACCCCAGAAAGAGAAUAACAAAACUUCUCCCCAGUUCAAGAUACCAAGCAGUGAUUUGUUUUCUAAAAAUGUAUGCAUUUAUUAUAUUAAGCUUAACUGAUUUUUAGCAGUUCUCGAGACCAAAAACAAAAUGCACAAAUAAAUCUGUUAAAUCCUGCUGAAUCUGGUAAUGCAGUGUCCAGCACAAAAAGAAAUGUAUAGAAAAGCAAUAUUACACUGAAGAAAGAAAUUAUUCAGAUGAGAAGGUUGGGCAAAUUUGGGAAAGAAUAGCCACAGCUGAGUUUUAAGAGUAAUUGCUUAUUGCCAUAAGGUGUUUUCAAGUCAGUAAUUCUCUCUCUGCUUCCUCUCCAUCCAGCAUGGGCUCCCCCCUCAGAAAAAAGAUUUAGAACAGCCUGCUUUACUGUAGGAAAGGUGCUUGCUGUGCUAAUAGUUUUCUUUAAAGAACUUUAUUUUUAAUUAAAACAAAGAAAUGAAACACACUGGCUGUAAUAAUGAUGAGGGGGUAAACACUAAAAAAAAUUAAUUCACCAGUUCUCAACCUGGCUGGCAGUCAUGUAGUGAAAACCCAUAAUGACAAUGACAGCACCAGCAUAAAGAGUAAUUAGAGGAAUUCUAAACAUUUUGUCUUAAGAAGGGUUAAUAAGUUUAAAGCACCAUGGUCUUACAUGCAACUGCUCUGAAAUAUUUUUGACACGGGAAGAGAUGAAUGGACACCUGCAAUGUUUGAUCUUGACGCUCUGACAAGUUAUGAAUUGUUUCAGUAAGUGAAGAGUAAUGAGCGAAGUAACUUUCAAACAUGAAAAGAAGUUAUCUGAAUGACCAAGGCUAUGCCUUAUAUAGAUGGUGUGGCAUGGUGAACAUCUCUAACAGAAAUUAAAUGUAAGUAACAGCUUCAUUGCUUAUUUUGUUGGGAAAUAUAAUCUCAUUUUAGAUUUUUUUUAAUUGAAUGUCUAAAUAGUUUUGUGGAAGAGUAGGCUUGUGUAAACCUGUAAGUUGCAUCCUGCUUUCAUCCAAAACCUGUCAUAGUAAAAUGAGGCAGAUGAGUCUCAUGUGACUUAUCUAAAUGUUUUCAUUUAUCACCUUUAGCCUUAGAGCUUUGUUCUAAUCCAGGAGAGAGACAUGCAUCUAAAAACAACCAGCCCUCAAAUCCAGCCUGACUUAAAACCAACAGCAAAACAAAGCAGCACAGAUAUUUCUGUACCCAGACUGCUGUGCUCAGAAAGAGCUUCAUAAGGAAAGCUCAGGGUGGAUACAUCUCACUGUCUCCUCCUUCUCUUCACCAGUUUUCUUGGCUAUUUCUGAAUCAAAGCAUCAUUAGUGUAAUAUACAUACCAGCUGUAAAGCUUUUAUUUCUGGAGUGAAAAACCAAUAUAAGAACUAGAGACAGAAAAAACAACAAAAAAUGGUUGGUUGUUCCACUUGGACUCUCCAAGGAUUUAGAGUUUAGGAGAAAAAAAUCAUCAUUGUAUUUUAUUUUUAAUCAGAGAUUCACUGGGUCUGAAUUAAGUACAUUUUGAUACCAGCAUUCCACUCUGAUUUUUGAAUGUCUAGAGUUGUUUGGGGU